GAUGAACGCUGGCGGCGUGCCUAAUACAUGCAAGUCGAGCGAACGGACGAGAAGCCUGCUUCUCUGAUGUUAGCGGCGGACGGGUGAGUAACACGUGGAUAACCUACCUAUAAGACUGGGAUAACUUCGGGAAACCGGAGCUAAUACCGGAUAAUAUUUUGAACCGCAUGGUUCAAAAGUGAAAGACGGUCUUGCUGUCACUUAUAGAUGGAUCCGCGCUGCAUUAGCUAGUUGGUAAGGUAACGGCUUGCCAAGGCAACGAUGCAUAGCCGACCUGAGAGGGUGAUCGGCCACACUGGAACUGAGACACGGUCCAGACUCCUACGGGAGGCAGCAGUAGGGAAUCUUCCGCAAUGGGCGAAAGCCUGACGGAGCAACGCCGCGUGAGUGAUGAAGGUCUUCGGAUCGUAAAACUCUGUUAUUAGGGAAGAACAUAUGUGUAAGUAACUGUGCACAUCUUGACGGUACCUAAUCAGAAAGCCACGGCUAACUACGUG
Molecule: ribosomal RNA, 497 nt
Filed under: uncultured bacterium
Lineage: Bacteria
Description: partial 16S ribosomal RNA
Rfam family: Bacterial small subunit ribosomal RNA
Source: RNAcentral